GAGAACACGCUGGGGAGACUUCAGAGUGGAGGAGAGCUGGUGAGGGCUGGAGAUCUGCGAAUGGGUGAAUCACACCGGUCUGAAGAAACCCCCAUAAGGAUUCUAGCCUCAACUUUCUCUCUGGUCCUGCUUUCUGCCUCUUGACCAACUAAGUCUUUCCCGUGUGGUCCUGCAUGGUGUGCUAUGCCCCCUGUUUCUAGGACCUGCUAGGGGUCGAAUCAGAGCUGUACCUGCUGGCUUACACCACAGACACAGCAAAGCUAGAUCCAAGUCAAGUCUGCAGUCUACACCAUAGCUCACGGCAACAGCAUAUCCUUAACCCAGUGAAUGAGGCCAGGGAUCAAACCUGCAUCCUCAUGGAUACUAGGUGGAUUCAUUUCCACUGAGCCGUGAUGGGAACUCCAGAAUUUUCUCCCUAAGCUUAUGAGGGCAUUGGUUCCAGGAUCACCCUCCCUGCACCUCCCACUAUAAACAGCAGAUGCUCAAGUCUCUUUCAUUAAAAGAGCUCCUGCGCAUUUCCAUAAAGGACAAGAAACUCGUGUUCCUUCCCAAGGAGGAAAAAGCACCAGUGAAAGUUUCUUCUAAAGGCUUCUCAACUCUUCACCCCCACUGCUCCAUGGGAAGGAUCCACUUCUUUCCAGGGUGAUUGACAGCAGCGAUGUUCACUCCUUUCAAGAGAAACACCACCCUCCUCUACAGGAGCAUUUCCUGGCAACCACAUCAGAACACAGUGGUCUUAUAAUAGUACUUUCUGGGCUAAUCAAUCUUCAAUAAUAUCAUGGUCAGGAGACGAGAAGUUCAAUCCAGGUUGAAUCCUGCCAAAACCAAACCAGUCCCCUUGCUAAGGUGAAGUCAUUUUCAGCUCACCAUCCCCACCCUUUUGCCUUUUGGCCUCAUGUGAACAAAAACACACUCAUCCAAGUAGAACACAUGCAUACGUCAGUGGUGUAAGAAAUCAUUUUUCUAAGGGAAACAGAUCUACAGAGAUGCAACUCUUUCCGCACUAACAGUAGUAACCUGUUCCCUUAUCUUACAAAGGAGCUUAGCCUCUGGAAUCAGUAAUAUCUCCAUUUUAUAAAGCUGUGUUUAUUUUACAUUUUUGGAGUAUAAAGACUCAUUCAGAUGGUUUGCCCCAAAACAGAAGUCUGUACUUUUUGAAUUUAAGUUUCUACUUUUUGAGUGACAUACAACUACUUGUGGUUUUAAAAUGUCAGUUUUUCCAGGUUGUAUCCAUUAAGAUUUCAAAUAAGUCUCAGCCCAGGCACCACAUAAAUGCUAAUUUCAGUUGGAAUCCAAAUUCCUUAGCAUAACCUUCAAGGCAAAACACACUUGGGCCUGUCUCACCAACACAUAUGAAUGUAUCUCCCCAUCAUUUCAAACAUGCAUGUCUCUACCCAAGUUGGAGAAAAGUCUUUCCAGAAGCUACACUUGCAUCUUUUUUUUUUUUUUUUUUUUUUUUGGUCUUUUUGUCUUUUUAGGGCUGUAUUCACGGCAUAUGGAGAUUCCCAGGCUAGGGGUCCAGUUGGAGCUAUAGACGCUGGCCUACACCACAGCCACAGCAACGUCAGAUCUGAGCCAGGUCUUUGACCUACACCACAACUCAUGGCAAUGCCAGAUCCUUAACCCACUGAGUGAGGCCAGGGAUCGAACCCACAUCCUCAUGGAUGCUAGUCAGGUAUAUUAACCACUGAGCCACAAUGGGAAUUCUAACACUUGCAUCUUUAUUCAUGCCACCCUUCCAUCUAGUAUCUCUCUGAUCAAAUUCCCCACCAUUUGAGGAAGUCUUUUACUUCACUUGAUGCUGUUCAUUUUUCCCUUUGGAUUUGUCCAAGGCUCCUCUCAUUCAUCCACCCACCCACCUACCUACCCAACAGCAGUGCAUCAGAGGCCUUGCCUUGUACAAGAUGCUAUGUUGGCUCUAUGGGGCUUUUGGAAAUAGCUAACAUGUGGGUUCUCCCUCAAGGAGUUUACAAUCUUGUAGAAAAGUAUACAUACACCAAAGCUGUGUUAGUUUUCCACUCUAGAACCAUUUACAUUUCUUUUCUCACCUCAAAAUCUUCUGUACUCUUUCUCUUGUUACUCAUCCUUCAUAGUCAGAAGAGGCAUUUGAACAAUAACAUUAUUUACCCACUCUGUAAUUGAUGUUUUUUUUCCUUCCAGUUCUUAGACACUUCUAAUCAAGCUGCUAUAAACAUAAAUAGCCAUUCUCUGAUUCCAAACUUGCCCUGAGCUCUACAGAAAAAAGAGAUGUGAUGAGAUGAGGCCUCCCUCAUGUUCUCAACACCAAACCAUCCACCUACCUGCAUUGGUAACCACAGUCUCUACCAUCCCUUGUCCCUGCUCUUACCUAAGCUAAGUGUUUCCAUUAGGAUCCAGAUCUCUCUGCAAUUGUCCCCAUUCUUUCCUGUGUAGCCAAUUUCUCUCUCUAUUGGCUCACUCUCAUCCACACACAUGUAUGCCUUAAUCGCACACAUUAAAAAAAAAAAAAAAA
RNAcentral lists this long non-coding RNA (2491 nucleotides) under Sus scrofa (pig). RNAcentral describes it as "lncRNA (ENSSSCG00005004222.1)". Lineage: Eukaryota; Metazoa; Chordata; Mammalia; Artiodactyla; Suidae. The record is from RNAcentral.